RNAcentral lists this ribosomal RNA (484 nucleotides) under uncultured bacterium. RNAcentral describes it as "partial 16S ribosomal RNA". It matches the Rfam family "Bacterial small subunit ribosomal RNA", at positions 30 to 507 of the family's 1533-position model. The record is from RNAcentral.
AUUGAACGCUGGCGGCAGGCCUAACACAUGCAAGUCGAGCGGUAGAGAGAAGCUUGCUUCUCUUGAGAGCGGCGGACGGGUGAGUAAUGCCUAGGAAUCUGCCUGGUAGUGGGGGAUAACGUUCGGAAACGGACGCUAAUACCGCAUACGUCCUCCGGGAGAAAGCAGGGGACCUUCGGGCCUUGCGCUAUCAGAUGAGCCUAGGUCGGAUUAGCUAGUUGGUGGGGUAAUGGCUCACCAAGGCGACGAUCCGUAACUAGUCUGAGAGGAUGAUCAGUCAAACGGGAUGUGAGAAACGGUACAGACUCCUACGGGAGGCAGCAGUGGGGAAUAUUGGACAAUGGGGGAAAGCCUGAUCCAGACAUGCCGCGUGUGUGAAGAAGGUCUUCGGAUUGUAAAGCACUUUAAGUUGGGAGGAAGGGCAGUAAAUUAAUACUGUGCUGUUUUGACGUUACCGACAGAAUAAGCACCGGCUAACUCUGUG